UAGGGAGCAAGCGUUGUCCGGAAUUACUGGGCGUAAAGGGAGCGCAGGCGGAAGGACAAGCCGGAUUUGAAAGUUCGGGGCUCAGCCCCGUGAGGGAUCCGGAACUGUUCUCCUUGAGAGCGGGAGAAGGAAGCGGAAUUCCUGGUGUAGCGGUGAAAUGCGUAGAUAUCAGGAAGAACACCAGUGGCGAAAGCGGCUUUCCGGACCGAAUCUGACGCUGAGGCUCGAAAGCCAGGGGAGCGAA
This 244-nucleotide ribosomal RNA is filed under the name uncultured bacterium. Its description in RNAcentral is "partial 16S ribosomal RNA". It matches the Rfam family "Bacterial small subunit ribosomal RNA", at positions 528 to 772 of the family's 1533-position model. The record is from RNAcentral.